Molecule: long non-coding RNA, 817 nt
Filed under: Salmo salar (Atlantic salmon)
Lineage: Eukaryota; Metazoa; Chordata; Actinopteri; Salmoniformes; Salmonidae
Description: lncRNA (ENSSSAG00000111510.1)
Source: RNAcentral
GAGGCCAGUGCUAGGCAGAAAAGGAGUGCUGACCGCCACCGCAGUGAGGCGCCGGUGUUCGCACCGGGUGACAGGGUCUGGCUCUCGACCCGGAACCUGUCUCUCCGCGUGCCCUGCCGGAAGCUGGGGCCGCAGUGUGUGGGGCCCUUCAAAGUCCUGAGGAGGAUAAACGAGUGUGUGCUAGGGUACCAGCCGGUCCUGGCCCCAUGGCACCAGAGCCAGACCGAGGCUCCUGCGGUGGAGGACUGGGUUCAGCACUCCAAGGAGACCUGGAAAGCAGUACAGGACUCACUGAAGGAGGCCAGUGCUAGGCAGAAAAGGAGUGCUGACCGCCACCGCAGUGAGGCGCCGGUGUUCGCACCGGGUGACAGGGUCUGGCUCUCGACUCGGAACCUGUCUCUCCGCGUGCCCUGCCGGAAGCUGGGGCCGCAGUGUGUGGGGCCCUUCAAAGUCCUGAGGAGGAUAAACGAGUGAAGCCCGGUCGCUGUGUCCUGCUCAAGGGGACCUACAUGUGUGCCGAGUACUGUUACAAAGAUGGCCAGUGCCCCGAGGAACAGAAGUGUUUCCGGAUAUGUUGAUUCUACGCCUGCAGUGAGCCAUUGAAGCUUUAUUGGAAAUUCUUAUUAGUUAUAAGAAAUAACUAGAAAAUUCAAAUUAUUACAUGUACAAUUAUGUCUAUGAAAACUGAUGACUUUAUGCAAUAAUAAAUAUGAAAAAUAAUCAUAGCUUUUAUGGAAACUGGACAAACUUCAUGGACGUUCUGUGAAUUGACAAACUCACGUGGAUUGCUGAAUUUGAAUAAAACCAGAUUUUGAAC